AGAGUUUGAUUCUGGCUCAGGACGAACGCUGGCGGCGUGCUUAACACAUGCAAGUCGAGCGGGGAUGUACUGCGGAAGGUUUCGGCUGGAAGCGGUACAUUCUAGCGGCGGACGGGUGAGUAACGCGUGAGCAAUCUGUCCCAGACAGGGGGAUAACACUUGGAAACAGGUGCUAAUACCGCAUAAGACCACGGGGAGGCAUCUUCCUGAGGUAAAAGGAGCAAUCCGGUCUGGGGUGAGCUCGCGUCCCAUUAGCUAGUUGGUGAGGUAACGGCCCACCAAGGCGACGAUCAGUAGCCGGUCUGAGAGGGUGACCGGCCACAUUGGGACUGAGACACGGCCCAAACUCCUACGGGAGGCAGCAGUGGGGAAUAUUGCACAAUGGGGGAAACCCUGAUGCAGCGACGCCGCGUGAGCGAAGAAGUAUUUCGGUAUGUAAAGCUCUAUCAGCAGGGAAGAAAAUGACUGUACCUGACUAAGAAGCACCGGCUAAAUACGUGCCAGCAGCCGCGGUAAUACGUAUGGUGCAAGCGUUAUCCGGAUUUACUGGGUGUAAAGGGAGCGUAGACGGCUGUGUAAGUCUGAAGUGAAAGCCCGGGGCUCAACUCCGGGACUGCUUUGGAAACUAUGCAGCUAGAGUGUCGGAGAGGAAAGCGGAAUUCCCAGUGUAGCGGUGAAAUGCGUAGAUAUUGGGAGGAACACCAGUGGCGAAGGCGGCUUUCUGGACGAUGACUGACGUUGAGGCUCGAAAGCGUGGGGAGCAAACAGGAUUAGAUACCCUGGUAGUCCACGCCGUAAACGAUGACUACUAGGUGUCGGGUGGCAGAGCCAUUCGGUGCCGCAGUAAACACAAUAAGUAGUCCACCUGGGGAGUACGUUCGCAAGAUUGAAACUCAAAGGAAUUGACGGGGACCCGCACAAGCGGUGGAGCAUGUGGUUUAAUUCGAAGCAACGCGAAGAACCUUACCUAAACUUGACAUCCUGUUGACCGGAACUUAAUCGUUCUUUUCCUAGCUUGCUAGGACAACAGUGACAGGUGGUGCAUGGUUGUCGUCAGCUCGUGUCGUGAGAUGUUGGGUUAAGUGCCAUAACGAGCGCAACCCCCAUCGACAGUUGCUAACGGGUGAAGCCGAGGACUCCGUCGAGACUGCCGGCGCAAGCUGCGAGGAAGGCGGGGAUGACGUCAAAUCAGCACGGCCCUUACGUCCGGGGCGACACACGUGUUACAAUGGCGGGUACAGCGGGAAGCCACCUGGCGACAGGGAGCGGAACCCGAAAGCCCGUCUCAGUUCGGAUCGGAGUCUGCAACCCGACUCCGUGAAGCUGGAUUCGCUAGUAAUCGCGCAUCAGCCACGGCGCGGUGAAUACGUUCCCGGGCCUUGCACACACCGCCCGUCA
RNAcentral lists this ribosomal RNA (1398 nucleotides) under uncultured bacterium. RNAcentral describes it as "partial 16S ribosomal RNA". It matches the Rfam family "Bacterial small subunit ribosomal RNA". The record is from RNAcentral.